AAGUGCGGAGCGAGCCGGCGGCUGCACCCGGCUGGGUGAAGUGGGCGCUCCCCGCCCGGAGGGCAGCGCUGGCGGCGAUUGCCGCCCGCCCUCUUUCAGGUGUCCGUACCCCGUUUCUUACCGCCCUCUCCCCCUGCGAGGUGGGGCUUUUUUUUAAGCAAAGGUUCCUGUUUUGACCUUUUGGAAAAUGGGUAACCGCCCCAGAGAAGGAGACCCACACCCUUAAAACUGACAGCAAGGACUGACUUCUUCAAAUUCGGCUGCCCAAAAAAAAAAAAAUAUAUAUAUAUACACACACACGCAUACCCCCAAAAUAACCCAAUCCAGGAAUAUUAAGUCCACCAUCUGCCACCAACACGCUCAACAACUACAAGAAAUGCGAAGAGAGCUUUGGACUGAAGUUUUAUAUUCACUGCUACAUCUGUUCAUGAAAGAUUUACAUGGAGGAAAAAAAAAGGGAGGCAUAUUCAUUCACCUGAGGAAAAAGUUCCAUUGAUUUGAACAUAAGAGUAGAAUGCUGCUCCUCACACAGCUGUCUUUGAAGAGAGACAGAGAACAGGCAACGCUUUUGUUCAUCAUUAGAAGUUAUUACUUUUAAGGACUGACUUAAAACAACUAAGAGACACGCUGUUCAACUCAAUUUAGAGUAUUUCUUCCUGCUACUGCCAACGUAUUUAAAUAUCUGAGCCUGCCAUGCUGCCUAAAGCACAACCACAAUCUUCCAAGGGCCUGUACUUCCACAGACUCUCAGGGAAGGGGCACCAGAACACGUUGCAAAACCAGACAACACAGUUGCAUCACGACUUUUCGAGAGCUUAAUCCAUAAAUACUUGAGUAAAAAGUAUGUACGGAGACCAAACAGAAAGCAGCACUAGUAUCAUCUGAGGUAAAUUUGCUGUGGAAUUUCCUUUUGCACAAAGAGCUGGGAGGGGAACACGGCAAACCUGUUACACCAGCAUGGGCAGGGAAACCUGUCCACACUGAAAGAUAGAAAUGCUUAACCAGUUCCAGAAAGAUAAAGGCCAGAAAUGCAAGUUUUGUAUUAUGAUGGCACGUUAGAAUCAACCAUGCCAAAACCUAUGAAAAGUUAUUAAAAUUUGUGUGGACAGAGGUUCAAGACAAACACUAAAUAAAAUUAAUUCCAUGUAUUUCUGGAAGAGUACUGUUUCCUGUCUUUGAUUGUCUUUAUUAUUUACCUUAAAACUCUCCAAGACAGGGCCUGCCACUUACGUUACUACUUUCAGUUGUGCAGUGCCCAAAAUAGUAGGGCCUGCAGCUUGGUUGUCCCUAAUUACUAACGUAAUUAACAAUGAUGGGAGCAUUAAGAGCCCUUUAUGCUGAAGUACGAUGCUGGAAAGCUCAGUAGGUCCCAGCCUCAAAAGAAUAAUUCAAAAUGACACUUAGAAAUUACAUUAUCUAGCACUUCUUUACUUAAUUUGCACAAUCCAAAUCUGAGCAAUACAGAAGCUGGUGGGAGUUUUCCCUCAGCCACAUUGAGAACAAGACCAUGCAGAUCUGUUAUCUAGAUAUGGGCCUAUUCCUGUAAAUUCUCUGUGUUUACCUCUCCUGUUGUUAUGAUUCAGAACAGUCCCAGAGGUAGAUCCUAAGCCCAAGUAGAAGCAAUUCCCUUUUUAGAAGGCCAGGACUUUGUUUAGGAAACCCCAGUCCCACUUGAAAACAGCCAGAUUAGCUGCUGAAUGAUUCAGAAGGUAUUUAAAGAAGAUAAAAUAAAUCCCUAAACUACCGUUCAAUCU
Aquila chrysaetos chrysaetos is the source of this 1754-nucleotide long non-coding RNA. RefSeq lists it as uncharacterized. The record is from RefSeq and is a predicted model, not a curated record. NCBI's taxonomy places the organism in Eukaryota, Metazoa, Chordata, Aves, Accipitriformes, Accipitridae. The transcript is spliced from 3 exons.